UCCUUACCACCAUAGAUGAUUCUUAGCCUG
RNAcentral lists this non-coding RNA (30 nucleotides) under Mus musculus (house mouse). Lineage: Eukaryota; Metazoa; Chordata; Mammalia; Rodentia; Muridae. The record is from RNAcentral.